This 335-nucleotide long non-coding RNA is filed under the name Homo sapiens (human). RNAcentral's name for it is "long non-coding RNA NONHSAT169254.1". Lineage: Eukaryota; Metazoa; Chordata; Mammalia; Primates; Hominidae. The record is from RNAcentral.
CUGAGAACACCAGAGAAAGACUGACCUUGCUCUCCACACUGCAAUAAAACUUUGUGAUCUUGAACCUUAGGUUCAUAAUCUCACAAAUGAGAAGGCUCCCUCCACACUCUUGGAACUGUACACCCACUGAAACCCUUAAGAUCAAAAGAAACUGCCUCUGUGCAGUUGAAGACUAAAUCAAUUUUUCAGCCAUAAAUGAGCAUGCUAACAAAGAUCUUGGAAUUUGUAUUUAUGGUAAAAUGCUUUACAUGCAUUCUCAUUGAGGCAUAUGAGAUUCUUAAAUUUAAUUUUUGUUCUUGUUCCUGCCUCAAAUCCACCAAUGACUUUUCAUUGAC